Molecule: small nuclear RNA, 107 nt
Organism: Nomascus leucogenys (northern white-cheeked gibbon)
Lineage: Eukaryota; Metazoa; Chordata; Mammalia; Primates; Hylobatidae
Source: Ensembl
GUGCUUGCUGUGGCAGCACAUAUACUAAAAUUGGAACAAUACAAAGAAGAUUAGCAUGGCCCUUGCACAAGGAUGACAUGCAAAUUCAUGAAGCAUUCCAUAUUUUU